RNAcentral lists this unclassified non-coding RNA (362 nucleotides) under Hevea brasiliensis (rubber tree). Lineage: Eukaryota; Viridiplantae; Streptophyta; Magnoliopsida; Malpighiales; Euphorbiaceae. The record is from RNAcentral.
AUUGCCCUGCCUGGGCUCAUAGGGAAGGAGGAUGUGAAGGAGCUUGUGAAGGCAGAGGAAGAUUAUUGAAUAAUAAAAUACAGUUUUGAAAAAAAUGGAUGAAGAACCUGAAAGAACUAAGCGAUGGGAAGGAGGCUAUGAAAGAACAUGGGAGAUUCUUAAAGAAGAUGAAUCUGGAUCACUUAAAGCUACAAUAGAAGACAUUCUAUUCAAGGCAAAGAGAAAAAGAGUAUUUGAGCACCAUGGACAAGUUCGACUUGGAAUGAUGCGCCACCUUUAUGUGGUAGUAGAUGGAUCAAGAACAAUGGAAGACCAAGAUUUAAAGCCUAAUAGACUGACGUGUACUUUAAAGUUGUUGGAAU